UACGUAGGGUGCAAGCGUUGUCCGGAAUUAUUGGGCGUAAAGAGCUUGUAGGCGGUUUGUCGCGUCUGCUGUGAAAUUUCGGGGCUCAACCCCGAACUUGCAGUGGGUACGGGCAGACUAGAGUGUGGUAGGGGAGACUGGAAUUCCUGGUGUAGCGGUGAAAUGCGCAGAUAUCAGGAGGAACACCGAUGGCGAGGGCAGGUCUCUGGGCCAUAACUGACGCUGAGAAGCGAAAGCAUGGGGAGCGAACAGG
This 253-nucleotide ribosomal RNA is filed under the name uncultured bacterium. RNAcentral describes it as "partial 16S ribosomal RNA". It matches the Rfam family "Bacterial small subunit ribosomal RNA", at positions 524 to 776 of the family's 1533-position model. The record is from RNAcentral.